CCCUUAGAUGUUCUGGGCCGCACGCGCGCUACACUGAUGCAUUCAACGAGUCUAAAACCUGCUCUGAUAGGGGUGGGUAAUCUUUUGAAUGUGCAUCGUGAUUGGGAUAGAUGAUUGCAAUUUUUCAUCUUCAACGAGGAAUGUCUAGUAAACGCAAGUCAUCAGCUUGCAUUGAUUACGUCCCUGCCCUUUGUACACACCGCCCGUCGCUCCUACCGAUUGAAUGAUCCGAUGAAUAUCAUGGAUUGAGGAUGCAAGUAGGUUAGCCUAUCUUCAUCUUCGAGAAGUGAAGUAAAUCUUAUCAUUUAGAGGAAGGAGAAGUCGUAACA
RNAcentral lists this ribosomal RNA (329 nucleotides) under uncultured eukaryote. RNAcentral describes it as "partial 18S ribosomal RNA". It matches the Rfam family "Eukaryotic small subunit ribosomal RNA", at positions 1470 to 1796 of the family's 1831-position model. The record is from RNAcentral.